GGACUACUCGGGUAUCUAAUCCUGUUUGCUCCCCUAGCUUUCGUUCCUCAGCGUCAGUAGUGGUCCAGCCAGCCGCCUUCGCCACGGGUGUUCCUGCAGAUAUCUACGCAUUUCACCGCUACACCUGCAAUUCCACUGGCCUCUCCCACACUCGAGCACGGCAGUUUCGGAAGCAGCCUCUGAGUUAAGCCCAGAGAUUUCACUCCCGACACACCGCACCGCCUACGAACCCUUUACGCCCAGUAAUUCCGAGCAACGCUGGCCCCCUACGUCUUACCGCGGCUGCUGGCAC
Molecule: ribosomal RNA, 292 nt
Filed under: uncultured Acidobacteriota bacterium
Lineage: Bacteria; Pseudomonadati; Acidobacteriota
Description: uncultured Acidobacteria bacterium partial 16S ribosomal RNA
Source: RNAcentral